AUUCAGAAUCUUUAUUUGAUAUGAAUAAGUUUCAUGAUCUUGAUUCUUAACUCCUUUAAUUUGAUGCUUUUGGAAAAAAAAAAAACCUAUUUUUUAGUGCUCUAAAUCAAUAAGAGGUAUUGAUUUUGAUAUCACUCCCCCUUUAUCUUCAUAAUUUCCGCUCCCCCUUUAUAUGUGUCAUUUAAACUACUCUUUCUUUUACUAAUUCUUACUUCCCUAC
This 220-nucleotide long non-coding RNA is filed under the name Elaeis guineensis (African oil palm). Its description in RNAcentral is "long non-coding RNA (EGUI_LNC024130)". The record is from RNAcentral. Lineage: Eukaryota; Viridiplantae; Streptophyta; Magnoliopsida; Arecales; Arecaceae.